UGCCCUGAGACUUUUGCUC
RNAcentral lists this microRNA (19 nucleotides) under Homo sapiens (human). Its description in RNAcentral is "hsa-miR-7976". Lineage: Eukaryota; Metazoa; Chordata; Mammalia; Primates; Hominidae. The record is from miRBase by way of RNAcentral.